CAAUUGUAUUUAUGUUGAUCUUGAUAACUUAUACUUCCUCAGCUUGUUGCAUUUUAUGGAGCUCAUAUUCACUAUUACAUAACAUUUAUAUAACUAUGACGGUGAUAGAGACAGGAAGACAGCCAAAGAUCCCCAGGAAAACCCCACCUUCAAUCCUAAAACAGCCUGAAGGCUGAAAAACUGGACUGCUGGUUCCAGAUGAAGCCUGCCCUUUCCCAACUGAUUAUUUCUGAAUAAAGCCCACCUGCACACUGGGAGGACAGGGUGGAGCCUCAGGAAGUUCAUACCAUUUGUAGGGGGUAGGAGCCUGGCCUCUCCUGUUCCUGUGUGGUGACCUGAGAAUCAAUUUGUGAGGCAGGAAACCUGCUAGCAGGACUCUCGCUUUGCUGAGUUAAUUUUUCCUUUUUCCUUUCCACCCAAUAAGUUCCAUUUUCCUCACCCUUCUAUGUAUCCACAAGCCUAAUCAUUCCUGGUUGUGUGACAAGAGGCCAGUUUUAGCUGAACUAAGGAGAAAGUUCUGCAACAUUUUUGGCAUCCAGAUAUGGGGCUCGAGGAAAGUUACAGGGCUUUGACUCCUGAGUCUAAAAAGUACAUUACGUCCUGCUAAAUCUUAAACUGACAGCAGUUAAAGCCUCAUCUUCAGACCCAGUAGAAGAUGCCAAUCAAAAUAAACUGCAUUCAUGAGACACAGGGCCAGAAAUUAAAGCUAUUCAACUUCUGAAAGCCCAGGGACUAUCACGGAAGAGAAUAAUGAUGGAAUAAAUUGCAGCUAGAGAAGUGAAGAUGAAAGAGAACUAAUCCAUAAGCGAGGAGUUGUAACAUCAGAAGGACUGUUGCAGAUUACCCUGACCCCUACAGUCUGCCAAAGGAAAAUGCAGUGCCUGGAUAAGUGUCCUGCAUAUAUUCAUAUGCCAAUUUCUCAAUAAUGAUUUCCCCAGAUUUUAAUACUGGUGUAGAAUAAAAUCCCUUUUGUUUUUUUAUUCAAAUAGAGUCAUGAAAUAUUGGAAGUCACAAUUAGCAUGCAGGAUAAGUUGAUAGCUAAAAUAAUCAUAGUAUUUUAGUUUAAAUUCUUCCAUUUGAAAAAGUAUUUAGCCCUGAAUCAUAAAAACUUUUAAAGACAUAGAGAAAUAGGACUGUGGUGGGGUGAGGGGAGGGGGGAGGGAUAGCAUUAGGAGAUAUACCUAAUGCUAAAUGACGAGUUAAUGGGUGCAGCACACCAACAUGGC
This 1226-nucleotide long non-coding RNA is filed under the name Homo sapiens (human). RNAcentral's name for it is "HSALNT0286951". The record is from RNAcentral. Lineage: Eukaryota; Metazoa; Chordata; Mammalia; Primates; Hominidae.